This 274-nucleotide ribosomal RNA is filed under the name uncultured bacterium. RNAcentral describes it as "partial 16S ribosomal RNA". It matches the Rfam family "Bacterial small subunit ribosomal RNA", at positions 523 to 796 of the family's 1533-position model. The record is from RNAcentral.
AUACGGAGGGAGCGAGCGUUAAUCGGAAUUACUGGGCGUAAAGCGCGCGUAGGCGGCUUUGUAAGUCGGAUGUGAAAGCCCUGGGCUUAACCUGGGAAUGGCAUUCGAUACUGCAGAGCUAGAGUAUGGUAGAGGGAAGUGGAAUUUCCGGUGUAGCGGUGAAAUGCGUAGAUAUAGGGAGGAAUACCAGUGGCGAAGGCGGCCUUCUGGACCAAUACUGACGCUGAGGUACGAAAGCGUGGGGAGCAAACAGGAUUAGAAACCCGAGUAGUCC